GUUAAGCGACUAAGCGUACACGGUGGAUGCCCUGGCAGUCAGAGGCGAUGAAGGACGUGCUAAUCUGCGAUAAGCGUCGGUAAGGUGAUAUGAACCGUUAUAACCGGCGAUUUCCGAAUGGGGAAACCCAGUGUGUUUCGACACACUAUCAUUAACUGAAUCCAUAGGUUAAUGAGGCGAACCGGGGGAACUGAAACAUCUAAGUACCCCGAGGAAAAGAAAUCAACCGAGAUUCCCCCAGUAGCGGCGAGCGAACGGGGAGCAGCCCAGAGCCUGAAUCAGUGUGUGUGUUAGUGGAAGCGUCUGGAAAGGCGCGCGAUACAGGGUGACAGCCCCGUACACAAAAAUGCACAUGCUGUGAGCUCGAUGAGUAGGGCGGGACACGUGGUAUCCUGUCUGAAUAUGGGGGGACCAUCCUCCAAGGCUAAAUACUCCUGACUGACCGAUAGUGAACCAGUACCGUGAGGGAAAGGCGAAAAGAACCCCGGCGAGGGGAGUGAAAAAGAACCUGAAACCGUGUACGUACAAGCAGUGGGAGCACGCUUAGGCGUGUGACUGCGUACCUUUUGUAUAAUGGGUCAGCGACUUAUAUUCUGUAGCAAGGUUAACCGAAUAGGGGAGCCGAAGGGAAACCGAGUCUUAACUGGGCGUUAAGUUGCAGGGUAUAGACCCGAAACCCGGUGAUCUAGCCAUGGGCAGGUUGAAGGUUGGGUAACACUAACUGGAGGACCGAACCGACUAAUGUUGAAAAAUUAGCGGAUGACUUGUGGCUGGGGGUGAAAGGCCAAUCAAACCGGGAGAUAGCUGGUUCUCCCCGAAAGCUAUUUAGGUAGCGCCUCGUGAAUUCAUCUCCGGGGGUAGAGCACUGUUUCGGCAAGGGGGUCAUCCCGACUUACCAACCCGAUGCAAACUGCGAAUACCGGAGAAUGUUAUCACGGGAGACACACGGCGGGUGCUAACGUCCGUCGUGAAGAGGGAAACAACCCAGACCGCCAGCUAAGGUCCCAAAGUCAUGGUUAAGUGGGAAACGAUGUGGGAAGGCCCAGACAGCCAGGAUGUUGGCUUAGAAGCAGCCAUCAUUUAAAGAAAGCGUAAUAGCUCACUGGUCGAGUCGGCCUGCGCGGAAGAUGUAACGGGGCUAAACCAUGCACCGAAGCUGCGGCAGCGACGCUUAUGCGUUGUUGGGUAGGGGAGCGUUCUGUAAGCCUGCGAAGGUGUGCUGUGAGGCAUGCUGGAGGUAUCAGAAGUGCGAAUGCUGACAUAAGUAACGAUAAAGCGGGUGAAAAGCCCGCUCGCCGGAAGACCAAGGGUUCCUGUCCAACGUUAAUCGGGGCAGGGUGAGUCGACCCCUAAGGCGAGGCCGAAAGGCGUAGUCGAUGGGAAACAGGUUAAUAUUCCUGUACUUGGUGUUACUGCGAAGGGGGGACGGAGAAGGCUAUGUUGGCCGGGCGACGGUUGUCCCGGUUUAAGCGUGUAGGCUGGUUUUCCAGGCAAAUCCGGAAAAUCAAGGCUGA
RNAcentral lists this ribosomal RNA (1514 nucleotides) under Escherichia coli. RNAcentral's name for it is "partial 23S ribosomal RNA". It matches the Rfam family "Bacterial large subunit ribosomal RNA", at positions 1 to 1559 of the family's 2925-position model. The record is from RNAcentral. Lineage: Bacteria; Pseudomonadati; Pseudomonadota; Gammaproteobacteria; Enterobacterales; Enterobacteriaceae.